CCUACGGGAGGCAGCAGUGAGGAAUAUUGGUCAAUGGACGAGAGUCUGAACCAGCCAAGUAGCGUGAAGGAUGACUGCCCUAUGGGUUGUAAACUUCUUUUAUAUGGGAAUAAAACGUUGCACGUGUGGGAUUUUGUAUGUACCAUAUGAAUAAGGAUCGGCUAACUCCGUGCCAGCAGCCGCGGUCAUACGGAGGAUCCGAGCGUUAUCCGGAUUUAUUGGGUUUAAAGGGAGCGUAGGUGGAUUGUUAAGUCAGUUGUGAAAGUGUGCGGCUCAACCGUAAAAUUGCAGUUGAAACUGGCAGUCUUGAGUACAGUAGAGGUGGGCGGAAUUCGUGGUGUAGCGGUGAAAUGCUUAGAUAUCACGAAGAACUCCGAUUGCGAAGGCAGUUCACUGGACUGCAACUGACACUGAGGCUCGAAAGUGUGGGUAUCAAACAGGAUUAGAUACCCGUGUAGUC
This 460-nucleotide ribosomal RNA is filed under the name uncultured bacterium. RNAcentral's name for it is "partial 16S ribosomal RNA". It matches the Rfam family "Bacterial small subunit ribosomal RNA", at positions 338 to 795 of the family's 1533-position model. The record is from RNAcentral.